RNAcentral lists this ribosomal RNA (509 nucleotides) under uncultured bacterium. Its description in RNAcentral is "bacterial SSU rRNA". It matches the Rfam family "Bacterial small subunit ribosomal RNA", at positions 11 to 518 of the family's 1533-position model. The record is from RNAcentral.
AAUUGAUCUGGUCAGGACGAACGCUGGCGGCGUGCUUAACACAUGCAAGUCGAACGAGGAUAUGUGGAGGGGCUUCGGCCUGGAAGAUGUAAUUCGAGUGGCGGACGGGUGAGUAACGCGUGAACAAUCUGUCCCGGACAGGGGAAUAACACUUGGAAACAGGUGCUAAUACCGCAUAAGACCACGCCCUCGCAUGGGGGAGGGGUAAAAGGAGCAAUCCGGUUCGGGGUGAGUUCGCGUCCGAUUAGAUAGUUGGUGAGGUAACGGCCCACCAAGUCGACGAUCGGUAGCCGACCUGAGAGGGUGAUCGGCCACAUUGGAACUGAGAGACGGUCCAAACUCCUACGGGAGGCAGCAGUGGGGAAUAUUGGGCAAUGGGCGAAAAAGCCUGACCCAGCAACGCCGCGUGAGUGAAGAAGGCUUUCGGGUUGUAAAGCUCUGUUAUAGGGGACGAAGGAAGUGACGGUACCCUAUAAGGAAGCCCCGGCUAACUACGUGCCAGCCGCCGC